RNAcentral lists this ribosomal RNA (260 nucleotides) under uncultured bacterium. Its description in RNAcentral is "partial 16S ribosomal RNA". It matches the Rfam family "Bacterial small subunit ribosomal RNA", at positions 524 to 777 of the family's 1533-position model. The record is from RNAcentral.
UACGUAGGGUGCAAGCGUUAAUCGGAAUUACUGGGCGUAAAGCGUGCGCAGGCGGUUCGCUAAGACCGAUGUGAAAGCCCCGGGCUUAACCUGGGAACUGCGUUUUGAUACGGAUGGGCUAGAGUUCGGGGAGAGGAGAGUGGGAUUCCCAGUGUAGAGGUGAAAUUCGUAGAUAUUGGGAAGAACACCGGUGGCGAAGGCGGCUCUCUGGGACCGAUACUGACGCUGAGGCGCGAAAAGCCGUGGGGGAGCAAACAGGG